CCUGGCAGUUAUCACUGGCUCAGCAGACAAUACACUAAGUCCUGGAAUGCAAGCAGAGCAGGAAAGAGCAGUUGGUCACACAGGUCAAGCCCGAAGUCAUUGGAGGGAAGACAGAGGGCUAAGGAAGGACGGAUGGGAUGGCCUCCACGGUCUGAGCAGGCAGGGUCUGGAAGGUGACACUGUCACGGAUUGAAUCUCUGGUUCGAGAGCUGAUAAAGAGCCAGUGUGCCAGGAAGCUGAGUUGUGCCCUGGUCCCAAGGUCACCAGUCACAACUCCUUUUGUGACUUUAGGCAAGAGGCUUCAAUCCCCUUAUCUGUAAAAUGGGUGCAACAAAAGUAAAUGCUUCGGUGAGAUUAUGCCUUUCAAUCGGAGAAAAAUUCAGCACACAGUGGGUUCCAAACUUUGCAGUGCAUUUUAAUGUUACGUCUACUCUACCAUUCCCUAGGGAUAUUCUGUCCUUUCCAUGAGUAUGUGCCUUACAAUGAAAUAUGGCCAUCUCUUUGGGAAAGUCUACAACAUUCAUAAUAUGGUCUAUUAAUUUGCCAUGUGCAAUUGGUUUCCCAGCCGAAAUUUUAUACCCUCUGUUUUUCUAUAUGUAUGAAGACCAAUGCACGGUGGAGAAGCAUAGUAAGAAUCCAAAAAAAUGUUGGCUCUUUUUCCUUUAGCAAACUCUAAGGCCAUGAGCAGAGGCUUGAGCUCAGCUCUUUGGGCGCUAACAUGACUUGGCAACAAUGAAUGACAAAGUGUUUUGUCAUUGUCAACUAAAGCUGUCCCUGUGAUUUUUCUCCCAUUGUGAAUAUAGGAGGACCCAUCCAGGUAUAAAUGUAAAAAAAUACAUUAUUAUUUAAAUUGAAAAGUUUAAAUUCCUUUUAAGAAGAAUUUUAGGUAAAGAAAGAUGAUACCUCUCUGAAUCCAGACACUGAACUGUUGGAGAAGACACCAUGAAGUAGCCUCCAGACCACAAGCUGCACAAGAAUGAACUUUGGGUGUGGUUGAUUGAACAUUUAUUUGUAUGUAUACUUUCAUGCCAAAGGGGACUGCCCUCUAACUGGCUUUUUGUCAAUGUGUCCAGCAAUUAUUGGUUUUGUUUUGUUUUUUCCUCCUAUCCUCAAAUUAUUGUAAUCUUUAAAUUGAUUAUGUUUUCAUGAUCCUUUGGGGAAAACCUUUUUUCCCAAAUGAUCACAUGGAGAUAUGUAAAAAUGGAGACUUGAACUCUGGACUCCAAUCCCCAGGAGUCCUUGCUAGCUCCCAGAAUGCCCUCUAAUCUCACUGAGAUUUCCACCUGAGCAAAGUUAAAAUUUCUAUUUAACCUGUCUGUAAAAGCUACUAGGACUUUUUCCUACUUCUGCUGGUGAGCAGACGGGUCUUUUCAUGAUGUAGGUGAGGUUGAAUUGGGCCUCUCGGCCCACCUAGACACAUACUUUCUUAUUUUGUAUUUUCUUUAUUUUUUAAUUUUUAAUAAACCUUAUAAAAUAUAAUACCUCUAGCAGAGAAACUAAUUUUAACUGUUACAUAACUAUUUCUGGAUCGAUAAGAGGUGUGUCUUUAAGGUGGUCAUUUGCCUUGUGCAUCAUUUCUACUACUUGACCACAAUCAUGUAACCCAAAAUACUGUGUUAGCAUUCCAGAAGCGAUACCUUUGGCUUCAUGGACAUACAAGUGGAAUUCUUUCUUAUAAUCUGGUAUUCCCAAAGCUGGAGCUUAUAGAAUAGCUCCUUUCAACUGUGACAAAGCAUGUAUAUGUUCUUUGUUUAAUUGCAAUGGUUCUUUAAUUUCUUUCUUUGUCAAAUCAGUUAAACAUUUGGAAAUAUGGGAAUAUCCUACUAUGUAUUGUCUCGAGAACCAGCAAUCCCUAGAAAAGCUCUGAGUUCUUUCUUAGUUCUAGGGAUGCCUAGCUUCUAUAUGUCUGCUAUUCUUUUAUUAGAGAUUUUCCUGAUGCCCCCCCCCCAAGACAAAUCCCAAAUAUUCAACUGUUGGAAGGACCCACUGAAUUUUCUUUUUUGAAACCUUAUGUCCUCUCUUAUGAAGCUCUAUCAAUAACUUCUUUGAAUCCUCCAAACAUGUUUUUGGGUCAGGUGAUGCUAGCAAUAAAUCAUCCACAUAGUGUAUUAAUCUGUUAUGUUUGAAAGUUAUGGUGGCUAGAUCUCUCUGCAGAAGUUGACAAAAUAUUGAAGCAGACUCACCUUGCAUUAGUCUGGUGUAACACAACUGAGUUUGCCUCCAUUGGAAAGCAAAAAUAUUUUGAGAAUCAGGGUGUAAUGGUAUUGUAAAGUAAGCGUUGCUCAAGUCUAACACUGUGUACCACCUAGCUUCUGAAGGUAUUUGAGUUAUUAUUCGGAGAAGGUGUGAAAGUGUGUUUUUUUCUCAUAAAGUUAUUUACAGCCCUAAUAUCCAUGACAAAUCUCCAAGAUGAACUGCCAUCUUCAUUCAGCUUGUUAGCUAGAAUAGGGCUACCGCAUUCAGCUACAGUAGGUCUUAAUAUGCCUUGUUCUAGCAAACUAUUUAUGAUAGGUGUUAUUCCUUCUUUUGCUUCUUCACUUAAUUUGUACUGUGGUAUAUAUAGGUGGUAUUCCUUCCCUGACCUCAGUCCUGACUGGUAUCACUGACUUGAUCGUACCCACAUCAUUUUGAUGUGGUAUAUCUUUUUGUAUACACCUUGUGGUAUAGCUUUUGGUAUUUCAUACAUAGAUGUUAAUAUUUGAAUUUUCUCAGGUUCUUCUUCAAGUUGUUCUGGGUAUAACAAUGGGUAGUGUUUCAGUGAAUUUGUGGGUAAAUGCAAGUAAAUUUUCCGAGAUCUUUAACAUUGCAAAGUCACUUGGAUCUUACACAAAAACAAAAACAAAAACAAAAAUCCCAUCCUAAAAGGUUAUCUGGACAUGAGGGAAUUAAUAGGAAUGAUCUAUGGUGAGAGGACCCAAUUUGACCAUAGUGCUUUUAAGCUCAGGAAUCUUGUGUAUUUGUCCCAUAGCUCCAGCUACAGAAAUCAUACCCCCUAUGUUGUUAUCCCCUGGACAUGUCUUUAGGACAGAUUUUGAAGCACCAGUAUCUAAGAGAGCUUUGUAGUUUUUCUUCCCUACUUUAAUCCAUACAUAUGGUUUUGGCUUCUGUGUAGCUAAGGUGUUUAUUGUUACUGAAUCACUCUGAAUUUCUUUGCUACCUUCUGCCAGCUGGAUGGUUGAAUCAUUUAAAUCUUCUUGAUUUAAAUCAUUUCCAAAGUGAUCUUCAUCUGAGGUUGAUUGUACUAUAUCCUAUACUUCAUUGGAAAAUGAUUUUAAAUCAUAGCUAUGGUUAAUCUCACAUAAUGUUACUUGGCCAGACCCCCCCCCUCCUCCACUUGGAAUGUUGGUUCCAAGUCUGUCGUUUGAAUCCUUGGUUGUUCUAUCAGUUACUAAAUUUUUCAUUCUAUUUAUCUUUUUAAAUUUAACUGUUAUUUCACCUCCAUUACUUUGAAUAUGAUUAUUAUUUUCAAAUGUAAUGUUGGCUUCAUUUUCACUAAAUUUUGUAUUUUCUAAAUUAGUCAUUGCAGGAUGGAAAGUUUCAGCUUCAGGAUUCAAAUUAGAUGUUGUUGUUUGUUUUUGUUUUUGUUUUUUCCUAAGGAGAUCUGUGCCAUACAGCUAUUUGAAGAAUUAAAUGUGUUUUGU
Long non-coding RNA from Monodelphis domestica (gray short-tailed opossum), 3641 nucleotides. RefSeq lists it as uncharacterized. NCBI's taxonomy places the organism in Eukaryota, Metazoa, Chordata, Mammalia, Didelphimorphia, Didelphidae. The record is from RefSeq and is a predicted model, not a curated record.